UCUACCUAUUAUAUUACUACUCGACGAUUUGCUUCCUCUAUUCUCUCUUGUUAUUAACGAAAAUAAUCAAAUAUGUAUCAAUUUGUUUAGACAUGUUCAAUCUAGAGAUAUGCAAGUUGAGAUAGAAAAAAUUAAUUUGUGACACAUCCUCUUCAUUGUAUAAAGUAAAUAUUACAACCCAUAGCCAUGGAUGAAACCUAGAAGGCAUCUAACAUAACAUGAAACAAGGAAGGAACAAGAUCACUAAGAACCCAUGGAGCUAAUAAAAAAUCAGCAAAAAUGCAAAUCAAGUCGAUAAGGAAAGCUAGUUUGAACGAGAAGGCGUUGAAGGUCCAAAUUAUUUGUCGUGGUAUAAGAGCUCCAAGAUAGUUCCGGAAAAAAUCCACAAGAAACCAUCACUUAACAACAGAAUUCAACUAAAAGAAGCCACAAGAAAAUGAAUUUCUACCCGAGCAGCCAACGAAGAACACGCCUGACAAUUAAACUACUUAAAUACCAAGCGCGAUUGAGCUAAAACUCCUCAGUCCCAUACUAAGAAAACCAGAAAACCUGUCGGUAAAAAAAACAAAGAACAGCACAAAUUCAUAACACUGAAGCUUUACAAUGAAAAAUUCAUCAAGAAACCCAAAGGCCGAGCAACAAGACCUUACUGAAGACAAUUUAGAUAAAAUAUCUGAUGCCACCGAGAACAGAUGACAGAACCUUAUAUCACAGCCGGGAGACCCAAACCGAAGACACUAAGUAGCCACCACCCAUCCCUGCCUCAAGACCAACCAACUUCAUAAAUUACAAAAAUCUUAUUCACAACCCAAAGAAAAAACACAAGCCAUAGUUUAAAAGACCUUUAUCAAAGAUGACCAAGGGAUAUAGAAAAGAAACUGAAUUGGCAGAACCACCUGAAAGCAUCACCAAAUCUAAUGGAAGAAGUAGAAACAAAAUUUAAAUCUGAAAAAGGAACCUUAAGAAGGCGACAGAUAGUGAGGAGGAAACCCGAGAAAUCCCAAACCGUCAUAACUUCAUAUUUAUAAAGUAACACAACAGAGAAGACCUAUGGACACAGACUAAAACAAUAACAAAAACUAGACAUCCUAAGAGCAGCCAAAAAGGGGAGGCGUUCGAACCCAUGCUUGAGCACCUAACUUCAGAGAAGAAACAGG
Molecule: long non-coding RNA, 1157 nt
Filed under: Brassica napus (rape)
Lineage: Eukaryota; Viridiplantae; Streptophyta; Magnoliopsida; Brassicales; Brassicaceae
Description: long non-coding RNA (BNAP_LNC005278)
Source: RNAcentral